GGCGAACGCUGGCGGCGUGCCUUAGACAUGCAAGUCGAGCGGAGUAUUUAGGUUUACUUAGAUACUUAGCGGCGGACGGGUGAGUAACGCGUGAGCAACCUGCCUUACACAGGGGAAUAGCCUCGGGAAACUGGGAUUAAUGCCCCAUGACGUAUCUUGGUCGCAUGGCGAGGAUACCAAAGUGAAAGCGGUGUAAGAUGGACUCGCGUCUGAUUAGCUAGUUGGUGGGGUAACGGCCUACCAAGGCAACGAUCAGUAGCCGGCCUGAGAGGGUGAACGGCCACACUGGAACUGAGACACGGUCCAGACUCCUACGGGAGGCAGCAUG
RNAcentral lists this ribosomal RNA (328 nucleotides) under uncultured bacterium. RNAcentral describes it as "bacterial SSU rRNA". It matches the Rfam family "Bacterial small subunit ribosomal RNA", at positions 28 to 354 of the family's 1533-position model. The record is from RNAcentral.